Molecule: ribosomal RNA, 119 nt
Filed under: Pteropus alecto (black flying fox)
Lineage: Eukaryota; Metazoa; Chordata; Mammalia; Chiroptera; Pteropodidae
Source: RNAcentral
GUCUAUGGCCAUGCCACCCUGAACGUGCCGGAUCUCCUCUGAUCUCAGAAGCUAAGCAGGGGCGAGCCUGUCUAGUACUUGGAUGGGAGACUACCUAGGAAGACCAGGUGCUGUAGGCG